Molecule: ribosomal RNA, 1393 nt
Filed under: Klebsiella variicola
Lineage: Bacteria; Pseudomonadati; Pseudomonadota; Gammaproteobacteria; Enterobacterales; Enterobacteriaceae
Description: bacterial SSU rRNA
Rfam family: Bacterial small subunit ribosomal RNA
Source: RNAcentral
GCAAGUCGAGCGGUAGCACAGAGAGCUUGCUCUCGGGUGACGAGCGGCGGACGGGUGAGUAAUGUCUGGGAAACUGCCUGAUGGAGGGGGAUAACUACUGGAAACGGUAGCUAAUACCGCAUAACGUCGCAAGACCAAAGUGGGGGACCUUCGGGCCUCAUGCCAUCAGAUGUGCCCAGAUGGGAUUAGCUGGUAGGUGGGGUAACGGCUCACCUAGGCGACGAUCCCUAGCUGGUCUGAGAGGAUGACCAGCCACACUGGAACUGAGACACGGUCCAGACUCCUACGGGAGGCAGCAGUGGGGAAUAUUGCACAAUGGGCGCAAGCCUGAUGCAGCCAUGCCGCGUGUGUGAAGAAGGCCUUCGGGUUGUAAAGCACUUUCAGCGGGGAGGAAGGCGGUGAGGUUAAUAACCUCAUCGAUUGACGUUACCCGCAGAAGAAGCACCGGCUAACUCCGUGCCAGCAGCCGCGGUAAUACGGAGGGUGCAAGCGUUAAUCGGAAUUACUGGGCGUAAAGCGCACGCAGGCGGUCUGUCAAGUCGGAUGUGAAAUCCCCGGGCUCAACCUGGGAACUGCAUUCGAAACUGGCAGGCUAGAGUCUUGUAGAGGGGGGGUAGAAUUCCAGGUGUAGCGGUGAAAUGCGUAGAGAUCUGGAGGAAUACCGGUGGCGAAGGCGGCCCCCUGGACAAAGACUGACGCUCAGGUGCGAAAGCGUGGGGAGCAAACAGGAUUAGAUACCCUGGUAGUCCACGCUGUAAACGAUGUCGAUUUGGAGGUUGUGCCCUUGAGGCGUGGCUUCCGGAGCUAACGCGUUAAAUCGACCGCCUGGGGAGUACGGCCGCAAGGUUAAAACUCAAAUGAAUUGACGGGGGCCCGCACAAGCGGUGGAGCAUGUGGUUUAAUUCGAUGCAACGCGAAGAACCUUACCUGGUCUUGACAUCCACAGAACUUUCCAGAGAUGGAUUGGUGCCUUCGGGAACUGUGAGACAGGUGCUGCAUGGCUGUCGUCAGCUCGUGUUGUGAAAUGUUGGGUUAAGUCCCGCAACGAGCGCAACCCUUAUCCUUUGUUGCCAGCGGUUCGGCCGGGAACUCAAAGGAGACUGCCAGUGAUAAACUGGAGGAAGGUGGGGAUGACGUCAAGUCAUCAUGGCCCUUACGACCAGGGCUACACACGUGCUACAAUGGCAUAUACAAAGAGAAGCGACCUCGCGAGAGCAAGCGGACCUCAUAAAGUAUGUCGUAGUCCGGAUUGGAGUCUGCAACUCGACUCCAUGAAGUCGGAAUCGCUAGUAAUCGUAGAUCAGAAUGCUACGGUGAAUACGUUCCCGGGCCUUGUACACACCGCCCGUCACACCAUGGGAGUGGGUUGCAAAAGAAGUAGGUAGCUUAACCU